Molecule: ribosomal RNA, 251 nt
Filed under: uncultured prokaryote
Description: partial 16S rRNA
Rfam family: Bacterial small subunit ribosomal RNA
Source: RNAcentral
ACGGGGGAUCCGAGCGUUAUCCGGAUUUAUUGGGUUUAAAGGGUGCGCAGGCGGUUUUAUAAGUCAGAGGUGAAAAAUCACGGCUCAACUGUGGUGCUUCCUUUGAUACUGUAUGUCUAGAGUAUAGUUGGAGUGGGCGGAAUGUAGCAUGUAGCGGUGAAAUGCUUAGAUAUGAUACAGAACACCGAUCGUGAAGGCAGCUCACUAAGCUAUAACUGACGCUCAGGCACGAAAGCAUGGGGAGCAAACAG